Molecule: long non-coding RNA, 1789 nt
Organism: Topomyia yanbarensis
Lineage: Eukaryota; Metazoa; Arthropoda; Insecta; Diptera; Culicidae
Exons: 3
Source: RefSeq, a predicted model, not a curated record
CUUCUUCAAAUGAAAUACUAAAAUUCCUCUUCAAUUGAAUGGAAGCAUGUGUUCAUUUGAAACAUUUUAUCCUAUGGAAGUCGAUGUAAGCAUGAAAUGAUGUUACUAAAAGUUCACUCCGAAUACAAAGGCGUAGCGAACGAAACAUAUACCAGUCAAACGAACGAAAAUGAACUAUAAACUAUACAGUCCUAUGCAAAUUAUUUCACACACACUACUUGGGGUUUGUUCCUACAAUUAUUACGGCCAAAUAGUUUUGGUUGCCAGGUGUUGGACGCUCGUAGGACCAAAGUGCAUCGUAUCGGACUAACAGGAGGACGAGAUGAACUAUUCUAAUGCCAGCUAUCAUGAUAUCACACUAAUGCAGAUUUGUAAAUAUGUUCUUUAUACAUAGCUAUAGAGUUCUAUGCAAAUCAUUUCACUCACACUACUUGGGGGUUUGUUUUCCUCCAGCUGUCAUAUGUAAAACUGUCAGUUAACUCAAACGUUUUAAAUAGCUUGCCUAACGUAUUUAUGAUGGUGCUCUGUGCCACUGUGAAACUUCUGCCGGAGACGUACAAUACCGGUUGGUCGGGAUCCACCCUGCAAAUAAUCCGACCGAAAAGCUCUUUUCGAUUUGUUUUCCUCCAUCUAUCAGAACAUUGUGAUAGGUAGAGGAAAACAAAUCGUGAACACACUAAAGCAUUUACUGAUUGUCAAGUAUUCUAUACAUACCAUGGUAUUGAAUAAAUGGUAGGCAUAUUUUCGAAAGUAAAAGUAAAUCGGAAAAACGUAUUGCUUUUUAGGGGAAUUUAUCGACAAUACUCAUUGUAUUAUUUUAUUUCAUCACAUUUACGGAUUAUUGGCAAUUCUCUAUAACAAUUGCGAAUUAUUUCAUAAUCAUUAAGACAUAUAAAAGUAAUUCUGAUACACCCUAUCCUUUACUAAUACAUCUUGAUGCAACAGAAGCAAUGCACUGUAAAAAAAUCAUAUCAUUCAUUCAAUUAUUUCCACACAUGAUGAAGCGCAAAUAUCAACAAAAUGAUUCUAAAACACUUCUACAAAAUCCCCAAAAUUUUUGUCAAACCCUAAUGUUUUAUCACAUAAACAUAGUAGCACAGUGAUUUCUAUUAGUUUCCUUUUGAAUUUAAUUCCAUUGAAAUUUCUGAGAUUUACCUUGCACUUUGCACCAGUAUUUUGUAACAGUGCGUUCGACUAGAGCAUUAUAUGUAAACAAAAGUAUAGCUCAAAAUGUAGAAUGUGUGGUGUGAAACAAAGUCCAAUGGUUUAAACUCUAUAACGACUUGUACAUUGCUAAAAUGGGAGAAUCAAGUGCAAAAGAACUUACGCUAUGGAGAAGUGUGUCAGUUUGCAGUUCAAAAAUUUAGAUUUCUACUUGGUGUGUAUAAUGAUCCGUCCGUCCGGGAGGUGGUCCAGUAAGGGCAGUCAGGAACUCCAGAUACUUGAAAAACACCCGCAGUUUACUGGAUUGUUCCGAUAAUGCUUUGGGAUAAAAUAGACUGACAUGUCAGGCUGAUUUGUUGGAAUGUGCGACGUGUAUUGCAUUGAAGGAGCUCAAACUUGACAAACGGUUCUGAAUCACUGGUGGAAUGAUGAUAGCAAAGUCGUUGGAUUUGAGGCUUGUUACAGCAGGUCGUGGGCGACUCUUGUCGCGUUGUGUAUUAUUUGUGAUCAUUGAUCAUCAUCAUUGCAGUAUUGAAGUUUCGCAAAAUUGAGUGCUGAAGCUCUUGCAAGUAAUAUUUCCAAUUUGCAGAGCCCAAACAAAAUACAUUUAAAAUUAAAUCAUAAA